GUGAAUAACGUGUUGGUCUUCGCUUCGGCAAGGCCAUCACACCCCUCACAUCCAUAACACCUGUGAACUGUAAGAUGUGGUGAAUUUGUUUGCCCAUCUGCCCUUUUUAUAAACAUUUGUAGUAACAAAAGUAGUCUUAUUAUAAUCUAAUA
This 152-nucleotide unclassified non-coding RNA is filed under the name uncultured Tremellales. RNAcentral's name for it is "sequence contains ITS1". Lineage: Eukaryota; Fungi; Basidiomycota; Tremellomycetes; Tremellales. The record is from RNAcentral.